AAAAAAAUCUUUUUUUUCUUUCUCUCUCUCUCUCUACUCUCCCAGCCGACUCUCUCUCCCACGCCUCGCACUCUCCUCCAAACUUCUCUCUUUGAUUUCAUCUUCAUAGAAGGAGAUUUUGAAAAAAAUCCAAGUAUUAAAGUUGUUCUACGCGACAAGAUCUUCCUAUCGAUCCAAGAAGAAUCAUGAUCGGAGCACUUUGAGGUUUCCUCCAUGUUCAGGCUUGCUUCUAACCUUCGAGGUACUUGCCAUGACACUUAGCUUGGAUUGCAUGGAGUGCACAUUGAGACGUCCCUUGAGAGCUUCAUUGGAAUCAUUAAGGAGGUGUUUUAUCAUCUAGUCUAAUUCAUGUUGUGUACUUUACUUGCAAUUGAAGGUUGUAUCUUUUGGUUAGAACAUAUGUAAAGCUAUGUAUAAACUCCUCUCUUUGAUUAUUGUGAAGCCCUUUUAAUGGAA
This is a long non-coding RNA of Rhododendron vialii, 456 nucleotides long. RefSeq lists it as uncharacterized. The record is from RefSeq and is a predicted model, not a curated record. Lineage: Eukaryota; Viridiplantae; Streptophyta; Magnoliopsida; Ericales; Ericaceae. The transcript has 2 exons.